UGCAAGCCGAGCGGUANAGAUCUUUCGGGANCUAGAGAGCGGCGUACGGGUGCGGAACACGUGUGCAACCUACCUUUAUCAGGGGGAUAGCCUUUCGAAAGGAAGAUUAAUACCCCAUAAUAUUUUGAAUGGCAUCAUUUAAAAUUGAAAACUCCGGUGGAUAGAGAUGGGCACGCGCAAGAUUAGAUAGUUGGUGAGGUAACGGCUCACCAAGUCUACGAUCUUUAGGGGGCCUGAGAGGGUGAUCCCCCACACUGGUACUGAGACACGGACCAGACUCCUACGGGAGGCAGCAGUGAGGAAUAUUGGACAAUGGGUGCGAGCCUGAUCCAGCCAUCCCGCGUGAAGGACGACGGCCCUAUGGGUUGUAAACUUCUUUUGUAUAGGGAUAAACCUACUCUCGUGAGAGUAGCUGAAGGUACUAUACGAAUAAGCACCGGCUAACUCCGUGCCAGCAGCCGCGGUAAUACGGAGGGUGCAAGCGUUAUCCGGAUUUAUUGGGUUUAAAGGGUCCGUAGGCGGAUCUGUAAGUCAGUGGUGAAAUCUCACAGCUUAACUGUGAAACUGCCAUUGAUACUGCAGGUCUUGAGUGUUGUUGAAGUAGCUGGAAUAAGUAGUGUAGCGGUGAAAUGCAUAGAUAUUACUUAGAACACCAAUUGCGAAGGCAGGUUACUAAGCAACAACUGACGCUGAUGGACGAAAGCGUGGGGAGCGAACAGGAUUAGAUACCCUGGUAGUCCACGCCGUAAACGAUGCUAACUCGUUUUUGGGCUUUCGGGUUCAGAGACUAAGCGAAAGUGAUAAGUUAGCCACCUGGGGAGUACGUUCGCAAGAAUGAAACUCAAAGGAAUUGACGGGGGCCCGCACAAGCGGUGGAUUAUGUGGUUUAAUUCGAUGAUACGCGAGGAACCUUACCAAGGCUUAAAUGGGAAAUGACAGGUUUAGAAAUAGACUUUUCUUCGGACAUUUUUCAAGGUGCUGCAUGGUUGUCGUCAGCUCGUGCCGUGAGGUGUUAGGUUAAGUCCUGCAACGAGCGCAACCCCUGUCACUAGUUGCCAUCAUUAAGUUGGGGACUCUAGUGAGACUGCCUACGCAAGUAGAGAGGAAGGUGGGGAUGACGUCAAAUCAUCACGGCCCUUACGCCUUGGGCCACACACGUAAUACAAUGGCCAGUACAGAGGGCAGCUACACAGCGAUGUGAUGCAAAUCUCGAAAGCUGGUCUCAGUUCGGAUUGGAGUCUGCAACUCGACUCUAUGAAGCUGGAAUCGCUAGUAAUCGCGCAUCAGCCAUGGCGCGGUGAAUACGUUCCCGGGCCUUGUACACACCGCCCGUCAAGCCAUGGAAGUCUGGGGUACCUGAAGUCGGUGACCGUAAA
RNAcentral lists this ribosomal RNA (1376 nucleotides) under Chryseobacterium lactis. RNAcentral describes it as "bacterial SSU rRNA". It matches the Rfam family "Bacterial small subunit ribosomal RNA". The record is from RNAcentral. Lineage: Bacteria; Pseudomonadati; Bacteroidota; Flavobacteriia; Flavobacteriales; Weeksellaceae.